CAGCCGCCGCGGGAACACGAAGGGUGCAAGCGUUAAUCGGAAUUACUGGGCGUAAAGGGCGUGUAGGCGGCCUGGGGCGUCCCAUGUGAAAGGCCACGGCUCAACCGUGGAGGAGCGUGGGAUACGCUCAGGCUAGAGGGUGGGAGAGGGUGGUGGAAUUCCCGGAGUAGCGGUGAAAUGCGCAGAUACCGGGAGGAACGCCGAUGGCGAAGGCAGCCACCUGGUCCACUUCUGACGCUGAGGCGCGAAAGCGUGGGGAGCAAACCGGAUUAGAUACCCCCGUAGUCCCUGUCUCUUAUAC
Molecule: ribosomal RNA, 301 nt
Filed under: uncultured bacterium
Lineage: Bacteria
Description: partial 16S ribosomal RNA
Rfam family: Bacterial small subunit ribosomal RNA
Source: RNAcentral